GACGAACGCUGGCGGCGUGCUUAACACAUGCAAGUCGAACGGUAAGGCCCUUCGGGGUACACGAGUGGCGAACGGGUGAGUAACACGUGGGUGAUCUGCCCUGCACUUCGGGAUAAGCCUGGGAAACUGGGUCUAAUACCGGAUAGGACUCCGGACUGCAUGGUCUGGGGUGGAAAGCUUUUGCGGUGUGGGAUGGGCCCGCGGCCUAUCAGCUUGUUGGUGGGGUGAUGGCCUACCAAGGCGACGACGGGUAGCCGGCGUGAGAGGGUGACCGGCCACACUGGGACUGAGAGACGGCCCAGACUGCUACGGGAGGCAGCAGUGGGGAAUAUUGCACAAUGGGCGCAAGCCUGAUGCAGCGACGCCGCGUGAGGGAUGACGGCCUUCGGGUUGUAAACCUCUUUCAGCAUCGACGAAGCGAAAGUGACGGUAGGUGCAGAAGAAGGACCGGCCAACUACGUGCCAGCAGCCGCCGUAA
This 478-nucleotide ribosomal RNA is filed under the name uncultured bacterium. Its description in RNAcentral is "partial 16S ribosomal RNA". It matches the Rfam family "Bacterial small subunit ribosomal RNA", at positions 28 to 523 of the family's 1533-position model. The record is from RNAcentral.